GGGCGCAUAGCUCAGCGGUUAGAGCAUUCGCCUUACACGCGAAAGGUCCUCUGUUCGAAUCAGAGUGCGCCCA
RNAcentral lists this transfer RNA (73 nucleotides) under Candidatus Portnoybacteria bacterium RIFCSPHIGHO2_01_FULL_40_12b. RNAcentral's name for it is "tRNA-Val". It matches the Rfam family "tRNA". From Rfam's summary of the family: Transfer RNA (tRNA) molecules are approximately 80 nucleotides in length. Their secondary structure includes four short double-helical elements and three loops (D, anti-codon, and T loops). Further hydrogen bonds mediate the characteristic L-shaped molecular structure. tRNAs have two regions of fundamental functional importance: the anti-codon, which is responsible for specific mRNA codon recognition, and the 3' end, to which the tRNAs corresponding amino acid is attached (by aminoacyl-tRNA synthetases). tRNAs cope with the degeneracy of the genetic code in two manners: having more than one tRNA (with a specific anti-codon) for a particular amino acid; and 'wobble' base-pairing, i.e. permitting non-standard base-pairing at the 3rd anti-codon position. Lineage: Bacteria; Candidatus Portnoyibacteriota. The record is from RNAcentral. RNAcentral also lists the same sequence under 3 other names.